This 199-nucleotide microRNA precursor is filed under the name Oryza sativa Indica Group (long-grained rice). RNAcentral describes it as "MIR812 microRNA precursor family". It matches the Rfam family "MIR812 microRNA precursor family". The record is from Rfam by way of RNAcentral. Lineage: Eukaryota; Viridiplantae; Streptophyta; Magnoliopsida; Poales; Poaceae.
UAUAAGGGAUUUUGAGUUUUUGCUUGCACCGUUUGACCACUUGUCUUAUUCAAAAAAUUUUGGAAUUAUUAUUAUUUUUUUGACUUACUUUAUUAUCCAAAGUACUUUAAGCACAACUUUUUGUUUUUUGUAUUUGCCCAAAUUUUUUUAAUAAAACGAGUGGUCAAACGGUGUAAACAAAAAAUCAAAAUCCCUUACA